AGAUCACUGAGGGUGAUCUGGCUGCGACAUCUGUCACCCCAUUGAUCGUCAGGGUUGAUUCAGCUGAUCUGGCUGGCUGGGCGGGUGUUCCCUUCUACCCUCACUGCUCCAUGUGUGUCCCUCCCAAAGCUGCAUGCUCAGUGGAAGAGAACAACCUUCUCCACCGAUAGAAGAGGACUGUUCUUUGGUCAAGGGUGUAUGAGUAGCUGCGCUCCCCUGCUAGAACCUCCAAACAAGCUCUCAAAGAGCAUUUAUUUUUUAAAAAAUGGCUGUCACUGGUAAAAACAAUGAAAGCUGUGGCAUUUU
This 306-nucleotide small nuclear RNA is filed under the name Prolemur simus (greater bamboo lemur). RNAcentral's name for it is "7SK RNA (ENSPSMG00000025551.1)". It matches the Rfam family "7SK RNA". From Rfam's summary of the family: 7SK was discovered as an abundant small nuclear RNA in the mid-70s but a possible function has only recently been suggested. Two independent studies have found that 7SK RNA binds the CDK9/cyclin T complex (known as elongation factor P-TEFb). P-TEFb activates transcription by phosphorylating the C-terminal domain of RNA polymerase II. Lineage: Eukaryota; Metazoa; Chordata; Mammalia; Primates; Lemuridae. The record is from RNAcentral.